UGGGGAAUCUUGGACAAUGGGGGCAACCCUGAUCCAGCCAUGCCGCGUGAGUGAUGAAGGCCUUAGGGUCGUAAAGCUCUUUCGCCUGUGAAGAUAAUGACGGUAGCAGGUAAAGAAACCCCGGCUAACUCCGUGCCAGCAGCCGCGGUAAUACGGAGGGGGUUAGCGUUAUUCGGAAUUACUGGGCGUAAAGGGCGUGUAGGCGGCUUGAUAGGUCAAAGGUGAAAGCCCUCGGCUCAACCGAGGAACUGCCUUUGAAACCAUCUGGCUCGAGGCCGGGAGGGGGUAGUGGAAUUCCUGGUGUAGCGGUGAAAUGCGUAGAUAUCAGGAGGAACACCGGUGGCGAAGGCGGCUACCUGGACCGGUUCUGACGCUGAGGUGCGAAAGUGUGGGGAGCAAACAGGAUUAGAUACCCUGGUAGUCCACACCGUAAACGAUGAAUGCCAGUCGUCGGGUAGCAUGCUAUUCGGUGACACACCUAACGGAUUAAGCAUUCCGCCUGGGGAGUACGGUCGCAGAUUAAAACUCAAA
This 531-nucleotide ribosomal RNA is filed under the name uncultured bacterium. RNAcentral's name for it is "bacterial SSU rRNA". It matches the Rfam family "Bacterial small subunit ribosomal RNA", at positions 355 to 905 of the family's 1533-position model. The record is from RNAcentral.